Molecule: unclassified non-coding RNA, 5249 nt
Organism: Vespa mandarinia (Asian giant hornet)
Lineage: Eukaryota; Metazoa; Arthropoda; Insecta; Hymenoptera; Vespidae
Source: RefSeq, a predicted model, not a curated record
UAGGAUAGAGAGAGAAACAGAGAGAAAGAAAGAGAGAGUGAGAGAGAGAGAGAGGGUGGGAGGAAGAGAGAAAGAGAAAGAGAGAGAGAUAGAGAGAGACGAAGGAGACCUCAUUGAUAAGGAUCAAAAUAUACGGUACAUCGCAUAUAUUUUAUUCUACGUUCACCUUAUUUAUAUCGAUUUUUUCACGUUUGUUUUCGGUAUAUUACGUGUCUAAGGAAGAAGAGAAGGGAAAAGAGAUCGAAAUAAUAGUUCUUGCGACGUGCGCCGUACGACGUAGUUAUCGCGUCGUAGGCGUAGUAGAGAAAGAGACGUAUGCAUGUAAGAAGGUGAAAGGUCGUGAUGCUGUUCACGAAGAAUUCUUGGCAAGGUUUAAAAGGGUUCAAAUCUCGCUCGAUUUAGUUCGAAAGAUCUCGUAUUUGAUUUUUCCUCUUUUUUCCUUUCUCCUUGUCUGUUUCUCUCUCUCUCUCUCUCUCUUUCUCUCUCUCUCUGUCUCUCUCUCUCUCUAUCUAUCUCUCUUUCUAUCUUCUAUACUUGUUCUCUUUCUAUCUUUCUCUCUGCUCCUUUCUAAACCGAUUCUCUACGUUCGUUCAGCCAAAGCGCGUACGACGCUGGAUAUUUCGAUGUCUCCGAGAGACGACCAGUCACGUUUUCUUUUUCCAAUACUUUUCAACGAAGUCUCCUCGUCAUAUCGGAUACGUUCGAAUACAGGCGCCUAUCAUUUAACAUUCCAUUGGUAUCGUCGAUUUAACGCCGCGAGGGUAACCAACAUGGCAGCGGAAUCAAAAAUUGCUCUACCAUCGUACGGUGGAUAAUGAGGGCCUUACAAGUGAGAGAUUAGCUAGAUCUCAAGACCUGACAUUUCAAAUAAAGGACAACUACGAUGCUUGGAUAACAACGUUGUCUCGAUGCGAAUGAGAGAAAGUGAAAUAAUGUGCUCUAAAUAACGAAAUAAAGGGUUAAACUGGCAGAGAGAGAGAGAGAGAGAGAGAGAAAAAGUAAGAGAGAAAGAGAGAGAGAGAGAGAUAGACUUGGCAACGUAACAACUGAUCAGCCGCCCCUUCAGUCAAAGUUUGAAUCUUUCAACGGUCACGCAAGUUCGUCCAAGUGCCAUUUACGCUUUGGUGGACGAUAAAUUCUCUCCUUCACGAUGGAUGUUAACGACGAAGUUUUGGUUUGCGCGGCCGAAAUUAUAAAAGAUCGAUUGUACUUUGCAACAUUAAAAACAAUGGUAAAACCAAAAAGUACACCCAAUACUCAUUACUUCAGCAUUGACGAUGAGUUAGUAUAUGAGAAUUUUUAUGCAGACUUUGGUCCAUUAAAUCUAGCUAUGUUGUAUCAAUAUUGUCAAAAAGUUAAUAAGAAACUUAAGGCAGUAACGCUGAGUAAAAAGAAAAUUGUACAUUAUACUACGAUGUACCCAGAAAAAAGAGUGAAUGCUGCCUUUCUUAUAGGAAGCUAUGCUAUACUGUACUGCAAACGUACAGUGCAAGAAGCUUACGAGUGUUUGACCAAUAGUCCAAACAGUCCACCAUUUAUGAUGUUCCGUGAUGCCUCCGUUGGAUCACCAUGUUACAAAAUAUCAUUAUAUGAAUGUCUUAGUGCUAUAGAUAAGUGCCAUCGUCUUGGUUUUUUUAACUUUCAAAAUUUUCGAGUUAAAGAAUACGAACAUUUCGAAAAAGUUGAGAAUGGAGAUUUAAAUUGGAUAGUUCCUGGAAAAUUCAUUGCUUUCUGUGGCCCACAUGCAAAAUCUAAAAUUGAGAAUGGAUAUCCAUUGCAUGCACCAGAAUCAUAUUUUAAUUAUUUUCGUCGUAAUAAUGUCUCUACGGUUAUACGACUUAACACAAAAAUCUAUGAUGCUUCGAGUUUCAUAGAAGCAGGUUUUGAACACAAAGAUCUUUUCUUUGUUGAUGGUUCAACGCCAACAGACUCGAUUAUGCGUCAAUUUCUUAAAAUAUCAGAAAAUGCAAGCGGUGCUGUAGCUGUACAUUGCAAGGCAGGUCUCGGCAGAACUGGUUCUCUUAUAGGAUGUUAUAUUAUGAAACAUUAUCAUUUAACUGCUCACGAAACAAUUGCAUGGAUCAGAAUAUGUAGACCAGGUUCUGUCAUUGGACAUCAACAGCAAUGGCUAGAAAAAAAAGAGGCGUUUCUUCACUCAUUGCUGAAAGAACCACUACAUUCUGAGAAUAGGAAUCCAGUACAUAAAUAUGGUAUAUAUUCAAUAAUGGGAAGACCUAAAAACGCAUUCCUAUUAAAUCUAAACAACGCUCGUGUGGUACAAGAUAAUGUUUCUGGAAUAAUGCACCGGGUGGAUGGAAUUAAAUUAGAUGAUUCUACCCCUGUUGCAAGUCUUAAAACAACAAAUAGACACUCAUCCUCGACUUUAACGCAAGGUGAUAAAUUAAAUCAAAUUAAAGCUAGAAGAAGAAGACUACGUGUAAAUCAGUCUUCUCUCGGCACCCCUACUGGAUCAUCAACAGUUGUUCAUCCAUAUUUAGGACCAUUACUGCAAACUAGAAAUAAAAAAGGAACAGCUAUUGCUACAUUAGCUGGAAAUAAGGAAAAAGGUCCUUUAAAAAGAUUACUCGCGAGGUCUACAGCAACAACAGUUGUUAAAAGAAAUUGUAGAAACAGUUGGCUGGUCAACAAUAGCUGCGAUCCACCUACCCGCCGUGUUAGAUCUAAACCAACAACACAGAUUCAUAAUAUCAACAACAAUACAACUACUACUACUCCUGUUACAUCUAUAUCUAUAUCAAAACCGGUGAGAAAGGCGAGUAUGAGAACUUCAUGCAUCUCAGAGGUCCAUGCUACAAACUCGUCUACAAAUCAUUCGGUUGCACAACCACAACCAGGCAUGAAUAUGAUUCUUAGGUCAGCAGACCGAGUUACCCGCUAUCAUUCUCUCAGGCAAUAAAUACACUAUAUGUUCUUAACAGAAACUCAACGGAAUAAACUUGACAGAAAUUUAUAUCGUCGUGACGAGCGUUUAAAAAGUAUGUCCACUCGACAAGACGUUUCCCAAAGGACUGAACGCUACGAGGAGCUCGAGGAAUGCAGGUAAAAUAAAUCUAUUCCGCCCUUUACCAACAGGAAUGUAAAAUUGACGCCCAUCCUUUGACCAUUUCUUUUAAUGAUCCUCCCCUUUCUAUUACCUGAUCCCUACCAAGAAAAUUUAUCAAAUAUUUCAAGAAUCCUCUAUUAAAUGUCGUUGCAUUGUUAUAUAUCUUAGAUAUAUUUCUUCAUAAUCUUUUAACCGUAAAUUCUGAAAUAACGUUCAUAUUGCAAUAAAUACGUGGAAGUAGAAAUACGCAUUAAUUUAAAGAUAAUAAACUUAUUAUCUUUAUCAGAAAGCGAUUUUGUUCUGUCAUGAAAAUAAAUCCUAUAUUCAUGUUAUUCUUGAAGAUAAAAUAUAUUAAAAUUUCUAAAUAUUUUAUUGAAAAUAAUUAUUGAUAAUAAUCUUGAUUGUACAUAUUAGCGUUAUAUUUUUCUUUUAAAAUAAUGACGUAAGAUUAAUGUUUCCCGCCAAGUAUGAUAAAAUUAUUUUGAAACGUUUUCAAUGGUUAAAUAUAAAUAUAUUAAUUUUGUAAAAUAUAAAUUUUUUUAAUUAAAAUUUAUUUUAACAUUGAAAUAUAUUUAUUUUUCAAUAUUAAAAUAUAUUUUAUAAGAAUAACUUGGUAAUAUCUUCGCGUGUACAACUCUCCCCGUGCAACGUUGCCACGAUCAAGAACCGUUCCACAUUCCUUUAUUGUUAUAUUACUCGGGCGUGCAUCCAUAGGAAUGAAUGCGGAUACACGCAGCACAAAGUUCAUUCGUGGAGAGGUUCAAAGAGGAUUUAUUCGUGACUCAAGCUAGAAUAAUCUCUCUCGACGUUUUAAAUUCCUGUGUGGUGAGAUAAAAACUAAGACAGGAUAUUAUACAAAGAGAGAGCGAGAGAGAGAGAGAGAGAGAGAGAGAGAUGACGUUAUGCUUUUCUAUAUGAACACAGCACGCAGGAAAUUUGAUAUUUCCAAGGAAAGAUAUUUACUGAUAUAUAUCGAAAGAAAACAAAGGAAAAGAAAAUAACAAAUGGACAUCUGAUUAAAUCUAUAUCAUGUUUUUGAUUACAUUUCACGAAUCACAAAUAGACUCUUAUCUAAAGAAGAAGAAACGCGAUCAUUUUACUCAAAAGUAAAAUUCUUAUUAUUUUUACACGAUAUUAUCACGUGAUACGGCGUCAUGUAAAAUUUGUAGAAUAUACGUAUGUAUUUUUCUCUAUCUUUGAUAACUUAGUCGCGUCGCGUCGCGUCGCCUCUCUCUCUCUCUCUCUCUCUCUCUCUUUUUCCAUUCAUGAUUCUAUCAGUUACGUGGCAACGGCGCCUUCGAGUGUGGGAGUGUAACGGAAGUUAGUCAAACGAGAGAGAUCAUCACAACGUAGUAUAUAUCAUAUGACAGGGCUAUACAAAUUUCUUUUUUUUUUUAAUUAUAAAUUACUACGUCAAGCAGAAAAAUAGAUACUAUUUAUUAAUUUCUUAGUUAAUUGCGUGGUUCAUUGUUCAACGUAUAUAUAUAUAUAUAUAUAUAUUAAUAUAUAUAUUAUAUUAAUAAUAAUAAUAUAUAUAUUAAUUCUUAUUUUUUAAUUUAUUCUUCCCUACUUUUUUGUUUGGUUAGGAAACGCUUAAUCUUUCGUCAUUAGAUUGUUAAAAAUCGAUUAAAAAUGUGACGUAUAAUUAUUAGUAUUGAUAUAUCGAUAUUCUACACAGAUCACGUGAUAGGAUCGAUUACUGAACGUUCAUUUCGAUAUAUACAAUGGAUCAAUGUAUGUUAAUAUAAAAUGUAUUGGUAUAAAGAGAGAAAAAAAAAUAUAUCUUUGUAAAAAUGUCUAAUAAUAUUUUUCUUUUUUUCUUUUAUAAUAUACAACUCCAUAAGAAAUAAUUAAUGAAAUAUGAAGAAAAAUAAUGAUAUAUAUUUGAGAGUUUAAUACAUAACAUUUAAUUCAUAUUAUUAAUAAUCAUAACAAAAAGGAUAUGACAAAUCAAAAUGCGAUUUUUAAAAAAGGGCGGGUAAACAAAUUACCCCCAGGAUAGUGAGUGUAUCAAAAUAAUGCAUUAUCUAUAUACGCGUGAAUUCGAUAAUGAAAAUUUAAAUAUAUAUAUAUAAAAAAAAAAAAAAAGAAAAAAAACAGGUUAUCUUUGGCGUAACGUAAUUAACGACAUAUGGAAAGAGUACUACUUGAAAAGAUAGUAAAAAAAAAAAAAAAAGAAAAGAAA